CUCCUAUAUUAGUAUAAUUAGGUUAGGGAAAAGCAAUGGCCAAUAUAUUCUUCCUGCCGCCACACACUUUUCAAUUUGUAUUAAACCUCAAAUCUCCCCAAACCUAAUUAAAUAUCCUACUUCUCCCUUCUACUUAACAAACACAAAGUCAGAUCUCAUCCCCCCGCUCCCUUUCUCUGCGCCUCUUACCCUUUCUCUUCUUCGUUUUUAUUUGAUUUGAAAUUCUUAUAAAAUAUUGCUGAUUAAUUUAUUUUUGUAGAUUUUACAACGUGAACUUCUCCAAGUAGCAUAUAAGUAUUGCAUUGAAUUGUGAUGUAUUUUUAAAUUUUAAGGUAAUAUUUUUUCUGUUUAUGAAAUUACACUAGAUAUAUUUUCGUUGUUGUAUUAAAAUUUAAAAGCAAUAUCUACAAGUUUUACAAAGUUUAUUAAAAUUUAAAAGCAAUAUCUACAAGUUUUACAAAGUUUAAAACGUCUAAAGGUUUGUUUACUUAUUUGGUUGCUUUGUAUUUUUCGUAUUUUUGUUUUAAAGUUUUUUUUUGUAAAAAAAUUACCUAAAUCAUAUACUUUUUCUCCUUGAAAUACUAUACAUAUACAUACACAUGCAUAUAUAAUUGAUAUGUCUAGAUUUUGUUGAUGCUAAAUUACUUUACUAUAAUUGAUAGGCUGAAAUUAGAGCAUAUAAAUGACAAAUUAGGAUGUAUGUUGAUCAAGUUGAGGUGCAAUUGAAGACUAAAAAAAAGAGAGAGUAGAAGAUUAUGCUGCUUUGAACUCAAAUAAGAUGGUGUCUCAAAAGAAUUGUAUAUUGUGAUUAUUCUGAAAAUUGUAAAAUGCAAUUGUACGUAAUUUGACAAUUGUGUUAGAAUCCCCAAAAUAAAUUUAUAGUUAUAUUAUGUAAUUUUUUUAUUGACAAAAUUUGUAGAAAAUUCUUUAAUUUAUAGUAAUGAAAUUGUUCUUUUUUUUUUUUAAUUUUAGCAAUUAAUAAUAUUUAUAAAAAUAUUCUUCAAUUUUUAGCAAUGAAUUUUUAUAGUUGUUGGCUAAAGCCUAGAUAAUUGUAUAAAAAAAAAUAUAACGAUAUAUUUUCUCUUUUUAAAGACAAUUAAAAAGUAGCUAUAACUUAUAUAUUUCGUGGCAAAAUGAAUAAAUUUUUAAUUAUGUACAAAAAUAUUUGUGCCAUAUACUCUAAUUUAUAGCUAUAGAUUUUUGAACUCAUAGCUAAAUGUAUACAAUAACAACAAGCCAAGUGUAUUCCCACAUAAUGGGGUCUGGCAUAGCUAAAUGUAUCAUGAAACUAAAAUAUUAAAUAGCCAUAACUUUUAAAUUUUUAUAGCAAAUAAAUAAAACUUUCAAAUAAAUAAAACUUUUGCCACAAUAGAAUACAUUGUGGCUAUAUAUAUAUAUAUAUAAAAGUUUACUGUAGAUUCUAUUUAUCGUGGUAAAGAAUAAAUUUAUUUGCUAUAAGAAUAUAUUUCAUAGAAAAAUUCUUUUACCGUCACAGUUACAAUAUAAUUUAGUUAUGCUACUUCUUGCUGUGAAUGCUACGAAAGAAAAAAAUAUGGCUAAAGUAUUUAGCUGUGAAACUUUUCAUAUUUAGCCACGACAUAUUAUGCACUUAUAGAUGCCUUUUGUUGUAGUAUAGUAAUGUAGAAGAGAUGUUGCAGAAUCCAUAUUUGCAAAUCUUAGCAAUGGGACCAUUAAGAAAGACAAAGUCUUGGCCUAUUUAUUUUUGUGAAUGGAUACAAGUUUCAUACUUCUUCUUAGGGUGAAGGAAAAAGUACAUAUAACAGUGGGAUGUGUGUUAGUAGCGUUGGACAAGAUGACAUUACAAGUAAAUAUUAUGGUGUUCUUAAGGAGAUUAUCGAAUUUGAAUGUCCAAUGACAUCAUUUAUGAAGUUAGUUUUAUUUUAUUGUGAUUGGUUUGAUUCCUCAAAACAUGGCAUGAAAGUUGAUUGUCAAUUUGGUAUUGUCGAGGUUCGAAAAAGGGGAAGAUAUUCUAAAUUUGACCCUUUUAUCUUUCUACAAAUUGUAACUCAAGUUUAUUAUGCAAAUCAUCUGAAAGAAAAGAAAAUAAGGCUGAUUGGUGGGUAGUUAUAAAGACAAAGCCAAGAGGAGCUGUAGAUACAAGAUACAAUUUGGAAGUUGCUUACCAAAAGGAGCAAUCACGUGUUAGUGCAAGUAUAGAGGAUGACCCAAUUGAUUGUUUGAUGACCAAGCUGAUGGUGAAGAGGUUGAUGGAAGUAGUUGCAAGACCCCGCAAAAUCCGAAACUCAACUCAGUCUUUUAAGUUUGCUAAGGGGUCCCAGACUUGAAAAAUUCUAGCUAAGUAUUCAGACUUAGUAUUAUUUUGGCCUUCAUAAGUUGGCAACUCUAUUUCACGACCUGUAUGACCUUAAAAUGUCAAUCUUUAGGUUGAUUCAUGAUCAGAAAUGUCAGUAGGAGUUCUCAGACGAGUUUCAAAUUUUUUGGACCUCGUUUGAACCACUUUUGGGAAUCCAAAACAGUAUAUCUGCGCGAUCUCGACGCGGCACGUCGGCCAUCGCGUUGAUCAAUAUUUUUCUUGGCUCCCAGUGGCAAUUUUUAGUGAACCGAUGUGGACUCGACGCGAAGCGUUGGCUAUCGCAUUGAUGCAAACGACACGGCACGUUGGUCUGCGCGUCGAUGAUUCAAUUUUCAGUCUUUUAAACCCGCGUUCAAAGGGGUAAAUGGAUCUUUUUUCCACCUUAUAUGAGCCCCCAAAAUAUAUCAUUAAGACGUCCAAGAGGCAAAAUAUACUCAUUCUCUUUAGAAUUUAUCAAGAACAAACCCUAGUUCAUCACAUUCAAGAUCCAAGACUCAAGGUUUCCACCAUUAUUCUUCAAGAAUUCGCCAACUAAGAUGCUAGGUGUAGGAUCUAAAAGAGCUGGAUUGCAUAAUGCAAAAGGAGAGAAGUCAAGUAAAAACAACAGACAAUAGAGUGACAAACAGUUCAAUUGCCUCCCUUAAUUCUAUCGGGAUCCCUUCAAUCUCAUACCGGUUCACCUUAUGUGAAUAACUCUUCCUCACAUCAAGCAAAUCCUAAAGUCAAUCAAUCCUAGACUUAUAACAAUGUUGUGCCUCCCAUAAUACCAUCACAACCCUUCUAUUCCCAUACUAGUCCACUUCAUGUAAAUGAGUCUUAACCUGAUCUUGGGAUCAACCAACCCUAGCCUGCUAUUAUUGAAUCUCUACCUUGAUCUAAUCGGCUCCAACCUACAAAUCAAGAUUCUAAAGCAUUAAUGUCACCACCGACCAAUAGGACUCCAGCCACCUCAUCUAAUAUAGUUGACAAUGUAGACGAUGAUGAUCAAAUAUGGAUAGUACCUGAAGGGGAUGGGUUUGUUCUACAGAAGGUAGUUAUUGAUGGUAUUAAUAAUUGCAUUCGAAGUAAGUUUGAAUUGGCUAGACCUUCAUGGAAGAAGUUUCUAGAGUCUACUCGCGAGAUGUGGUUUGAGGAAUUCAAGAAGAAAUGUAAGUGGUUUCCUCACUAUAAUGAUGCUAUAUGGUCUAAUUUUAAUAAAAGGGCAUCUUAAAAAAUGACCCAACUUUUUCAAGAUGUUAGAAAAAAAUUCCUCUAAAACCACAUUGGAUGGGAGAUGCAGUAUUCAAGGAGAUGAAGGUGUAUUGGGAGUCUGAUGAGUUCAAAACAAAGUCUGAAUGAAAUAAAAACAAUCGUGAUUCAAAUGCCGGUGCAUCACUUCAUACAUAUGGUUGUGUGCCUUAGCGAUUGAUCUAUGAGAGAAUGAAAGAAGCUACUGGAAAAGAUCCUUCUGUUUCAGAAUUUUAUUUUCGAACUCAUCGCAAGAAAAGUGAUAAAAGUUGGGUAAAUGAGAAAGCUGAAUCUACUUAUAAUGAGUUUGAAAGAAAGAAACAAGAAAUAUUAGCUGCUCAAAGUGCAUCAGUUGUGGAUGGAGAAACUAAUUCAGCUAGUCAGCUUGCUAGUUAAGUGAAAUAGAUAUCUGGGUGUAAUCUGUUGGUGGAAAGAAAAAAAAAGAGUCAAAGGUCUUGGCUCCCUGGUUCGAAGUGUAAAGGCAACUAACAAUUCACCAUCAACUUUGCCAAAAAAAAUUGAUGAGAUGAUUAAUUCUCAGGUUGAUGAUUCAAAUACUGAUUUGUAUGCUUAGUUGCAGAAUGAGUGAAACAAAAAUAAGAGGAUGAGAAAGGAAUUAGAAUUGUUGAUGAAGCAUGUAUACAAGAAAUUAUCUUUAAAUUAUGAACGCCCAUCUCAAGAAGACAACCAAGCUUAUGAGAAUGAAAGUGAUGAUGACUCUAACGAUGUAAAUGAAAGUGAUAAUCCUGAUAACAUAAAGUGAUAAUCCUGAUAACAUAAAUGAAAGUUAUUCUGACCCUGAUGAUUGGUAGUUUUAUUGAGGAUGCAAGUAUUAAAUAUUUUGUUUUGGACCAUUUAAGAAUCAUACAUAAAUGGGUGCUAAGCAGAGGUAGGACAAUGACAUGGUGCAACAAAAGGAGUGGUGAAGCUAGAAUAUACUCUCAUAUCGACUGUGUUUUUGGUAACAGAGCUUGGUUCCAAGAAUACCAUUAUAUUGAGGCAGAAUAUUCAGCACCUGAAUGUUCUGAUCAUUCUCCAGUGGUGUUGAUUACUAAAACCACUCCAUCACAUUUGGAGAGGCCUUUUCGACUAUUGAAUGUCCGGCUACAUCGGGAGAAGUUUAAGGAAAUAAUGGCAAGUGUGUGGAAGGAAAAUGUACAAGGUCAUAUAAUGUACAAAGUGUAGAAGAAACUAUAACUAGUGGCUCACCAAGCACGACAGAUGAAUAAAGAAUGCUCCAAAAUUGAACUGAAGCUAAACAUGCUUAGAGAACAAUUACUUGAGGUGCAGGAGGAUAUGACAACUAACAUGUUUAACUCUAUGCUCAUUUCCAAGGAGAAAGUCAUCUUACAAGACUUAGAGAAAUAGGAGGAAGUAAAUGAGAGGAUACUGAGACAGAAAUCUAGAGCAACCUAGUUAAAUGUGGGGAUAAGAACUCCAAAUACUUCUUUGCACAUAUGAAAGAAAGGCACAUCAGCAACAACAAUGCCUUAUAUGGACUUAGAGAUCCCAAGGGAAGGACCAUGCAUAACAGUACUUCAACAACAAGACCUCUUACUACCAGUGACAAUAUUGGAUGUAGAAAAAGCUAUCAAUGACCUGCCAGUGGAUAAAAGUCCAGGUAUUGAUAGAUUUAAUGCAAAAAAUUUCAAAGCUUAUUUGCCUAUUAUAGGAGAAGAGGUGACUGCAGGAGUGUUGUAGUUCUUUGAAAAUGGUAAAAUGUUGAAAAACAUUAAUGCUAACACUAUUACUUGCACUACUAUAUAUAAGGUGAUUGCCAUAAUCCUCAUCAACAGACUCAAAACUGUAGUAGAUAAACUGGUCAGCCUAGCCUAGUCAACUUUUAUUGAAGGAAGAAGUAUCUUAGACAAUGUUGUAAUAGCGCAUAAAUUAGUGAAAGGUUACUUACAGAAGGGAGUGGCAGCCAGAUGCACUAUCAAAGUUGAUAGCAGAAAGGCCUAUGACUCUAUAGAAUGGCUAUUUCUAAGAAUGGUGUUGUUAGAGUUUGGUAUCCCUACUAAACUAGCUGAGCUGAUAAUGGAAUAUAUCUCCACAAUAUAGUACAGUAUAAUCUUAAAUGGGGGAUUGACACCACCUUUUCAAGUAUAAAAAGGACUUAAGAAAGGGGACCCAAUUUGUCCUAGCUAUGGAAUAACUAAAUACGAAUCUGCAGUAACUGAGAAAGAAGCCACAAUUCAACUAUCAUCCAAGGUGUGAGUAGCUGAGAAUCAUACACAUAUGCUUUGCUGAUGAUAUGUUAAUGUGUUGCGGGGUUGAUGAGAUAACAAUCAAACAAUUAUUCAGUACAUUCAACCAGUUUUCUACUGGUUUAGGAUUUCGGGCCAAUUUAGAAAAAAGUUCAUUGUACAUUGCAGGAGUGGACAUUGCUUUCAAGGAGAAAAUACUAGCUGAUUUGGGAAUGACCUUAGGUACUUUGUCAUUUAAUUACUUAGGGGUGCCUCUCUCAACUAGGAAGUUAUCAGUCCAACAAUACAUGCUAAUUAUGGAAAAAAUGAUGGCAAGGGUAAAGUGCUGGUCAUCUAAACUCCUCUCCUAUAGUGGAAGACUACGACUAAGAAAAAGUGUGUUAUUUGAAAUACAAACUUACUGGGCUCAAAUUUUUCUCUUGCCUUAAAAGAUCUUAACACUGCUUAGUACAGUCUGUAGGUUAUUCUUAUGGACAUGUAGUAAUGAGUGUUCUAGAAGAGCUUUGAUUGCUUGGGAGACAAUAUGCAUUUCACAAAGAGUAGGAGGACUUAAUGUGAUUGAGAUAAUCAGGUAGAAUAAAGCUGCAAUUUGUAAACUGUUAUGAGCAAUUGAAGAAAAGCAAUAUAGGCUGAGGGUAAUUUGGAUACGUACCUAAUACAUAAAAAACAAUAAUCUGGAUACUCUACAGGUUCCAAAAUAAGCUAGUUGGUUAGUAAGGAAAAUCCCCGAGGCAAAAAAAUGGCUAAAUGGUGUGGGCAUUGUCCAGACAAAGCUACAAGCCAUUAGUGGACCUACAAGCUUCUGCAUUAAAAAGUACUAUUUGAGUAUGUUACCACAAUACCCUCAAGUGGCAUGGAGUAGAUUACUUAUGACACAGGGUCAGAUGCUAAGACAAAGUUUAUCCUAUGGUUGGAACUUUAACAAUGACUAAGCACUUGGUACAUGCUUAGUCAAGAGUUAGCUUAAAAAAUGAAUAACUCUUGGUACGUGUAGAAUUUUCAAGACCUAGACCCACCAAUGUAUAGGUAAUUGACUCAUCUUUCCAGAGAUACCAAUUUUGCCUUAAUCCAAUGCUCGGUUGAAAAGUUAUGACAUUUUUAGUAAAAUAGUAUGGCAUUUUGACAGGCACCGCAUCGCGGUGUAGGACGGUUUCGUAAUUGUCAAAAUCUAGUGGAGAACCGUGAAUAUGUUGCAUCGCAUUGAAAGUAUAGUUCCUACUCAUCUUUUUUCCAGUGAGGCAAUGCAAUUUUAGUGCAUCGCAGCGAUGGACAAAAUGGGACUCGUCCCUUUUCCAGUUAUCCAACGUGAUAGCCCCGUGUCGCAUUGAUGGGCAAAAUCAAGCUCGUUCCUUUUCCAGUGAACCACACGAUAGUGGCACGUCGUGGUGGGUGGCCAAAUCUGGAAUUUUCCAAUUUUUGAGUUAAAUUUUAAAAGGGCAAUUUAGUCAAUUCCCAAGCCCUAAGUCAUGAAUAACACAAAAUUAAACCUAUUCUAAGCUCACUUUUCAUCAAUCCUCUCUCAAGAAAACCUUAAACCUCAAAACUUAACCUCCAAGAAAUCAAAUUUCCUCCAUUUUAUUUUUAAGAUAGCUCAAAAUUAAAGAUUUCCAAUCCAAGAACUUUAAGAGGUUAUCUUCAAAAGCACAAUUAGGAAUUCUAGAUCAAGUUUUUUAUUUAAUUUCAUCAAUUAAGGUAUGUGGGAUUUGAACAAGGAUAAAUCUUUCAUCCUUAUGUCCAAAACUAGUUUUAAAUUACAAAUUUACAUGACUUUAAAUAAAUUUCAAUUUAGGUUCAUACCCAUUUAUUGCUAUUUGAAGAUUAUGAUGUUUUAAGUGUUUUUGAUGUUGAAUUACAUGUCUACUUUCGUAAAUUGAUGCGUAUGAUUGUAUUUUUCAGAUUUGAAUUGAAUUAUGAAUACUUACAUUAUCAAGCAUGAACGUUAUGAUGUUUUGACAUAAAUUUGAAGCAUGGUUUAUCAAGCCCUAGUUAAAUAUUGCUAUUUCAAGAAUGAUUAUGCUUUUAAGUAUCCCAUGAUAUGUUUAUAAACAACUUUGAAUAAAGAUUUGAUCUUUUGAUAUUUAGCUAAGAUAUGAAAACCACUUUACAAAUUACAUUCAGUUUUGAAUGAACAGAUGCACAGUUAGCUUUCAGUAUAAAAUAUUAUGACUUUUAAAAAGUGGAUUUCCUUCAGAAUGCGCAUAUAGAUUAAAGGAAGUAGUAUUUAGCACCGAGCGAAAACUGUGGGUUUAGUGCAUCCUACUUUUCUAGAACUACAAGCAAACGUAGGUACAGAUUCAAUAUUCCUAUUUCUAUAUGGAUGACAGUUACAGAUAUGAUCACUUAGCUCAGGUUAUACUCCUUGGAAAGAGUAUGACACCUCUUCCUAACAUAAGGUUUUCUCCUUAGGGGAAUGAGACGUUGGACUCCAUGAUAUCUCUCAUGGUUUAGGUCUGUUAACAGUACCUCCCUAAUAGGAAAGAAUAGCAGAACAGUUUUAGCACAAUACAGCUUUCAGAAAAGAACAACUUUUAGACUUUAAAUGUGAUGGCUCACUAGAUUUACACAGUAUGUUUUAUCAUUCAUGAUUUAUGAUUUUUAACUUUCAGUUAUUCCAUCCAUGUGAGUCAUUACAUACAACAUGCAUAUUCUAUGAAUUUUAUUAACAUUUGA
This is a long non-coding RNA of Capsicum annuum, 8439 nucleotides long. RefSeq lists it as uncharacterized. The record is from RefSeq and is a predicted model, not a curated record. The transcript is spliced from 7 exons. Lineage: Eukaryota; Viridiplantae; Streptophyta; Magnoliopsida; Solanales; Solanaceae.